Molecule: long non-coding RNA, 358 nt
Filed under: Brassica rapa (field mustard)
Lineage: Eukaryota; Viridiplantae; Streptophyta; Magnoliopsida; Brassicales; Brassicaceae
Description: long non-coding RNA (BRAP_LNC001412)
Source: RNAcentral
CCUGAAGUUUUUAGAUUUUGGUUUUGUUUUUAUUGAAUAAUGUUUCUCAUGAAAAUUUCAUGAGAACUUAUUUUUUUUUUAUGAUUUCAUUUAUCUUGUUUUCUUUCUAUCACUAACUAUGUUUAUCUUUCGCUUGAUUUUGAAUGAUCACGUUUGAUGUUUUUUCUUAUUUUUGAAUCGAUUUUACUUAUGUUUUGGCUAUUAAAAUAUGUACAAAUCAUGUAUUUUAAAUCCGAAGAACCGAUUUCAUUUAUGUUUUAGUUACAAAAUAGGUACAAAUCAGGUAUUUUUAAACCGAAGAACCGAUUGGAACCCGAACCCGAAAGUACAAUGGGUUAUACCGGUUCUUUGAAGAUUU